AUAUCAGUUGGUAACGUGGGUAGUCGUGUGUAGAAUACGGUCCGGUGAUGCGUCAUUAUAUUGAAGUACUUAGUCGUGUAAUAAGGUUACAUGUUAGAAUAGUAUUACAUGCCAGGAAUAGAGCAUUAAAAUAAUAAAAAAUGUUCGAAACGUAUGUUUCGUUUAAAUGUACAUAUCAUUGAUAGGAAAGAAUAUCUUGAUUCCUACGUUUAUGAUCGCUCAGUGGAUAAAAGUUAUUGGAGAAAAAAGAUAUAGAGAGAAAACGCUACAAGAAUCGCUUCCGUUGUAGAUUCGAGAGAACUGUUUUAGUAAUGGAUGUAAUGAGAUGUAUAGAAAUACGUGUCGUUCGUGUAGCAACACAUCUUUUUCCAAACGAUCAGUUCGAGAAAAUGAAUUACUCGAGAUCAUGUGCAUGAGAUUUCUUCUUUAAUUAGUUUUAUUUUCAUCAUUUUUAGUAGUAUAUGUUGUGGCACUAAGGAUGCUUACUUGAGAUCAUCAAAAUACUGGCAGGGAAAGGUGUCGUCGUCACGAUGACCCAUGCCUGAUAAGUUUUACCAAAGCACAAUGAUCUCAGUGUGGAAAAAGAUGCGAUCGUAAUAUUCGCUGUUGUAGAUGUCAACAAUAUGUCUCAUAAAAAGUCGCAAAGGCUGUCUGAAAAGAAUUGAAAAAUAAACAGUAAUUGUCGAUAUUGUU
This is a long non-coding RNA of Bombus huntii, 693 nucleotides long. RefSeq lists it as uncharacterized. The transcript has 2 exons. Lineage: Eukaryota; Metazoa; Arthropoda; Insecta; Hymenoptera; Apidae. The record is from RefSeq and is a predicted model, not a curated record.